Prionailurus viverrinus (fishing cat) is the source of this 2371-nucleotide long non-coding RNA. RefSeq lists it as uncharacterized. NCBI's taxonomy places the organism in Eukaryota, Metazoa, Chordata, Mammalia, Carnivora, Felidae. The record is from RefSeq and is a predicted model, not a curated record. The transcript has 3 exons.
CAAAAAGAUAUAGACGUAAUUUUAAAAACUAACUUAGUGGAUCACUGAGGUGUCUUGUCAUUCCGCGAAGCACGUUGAUGGCAGCAGCUGCUUUGAGCGUCUGGUGAAAGUGGAAGAAAGCAGGGAGGUGAGGGCACUGAACACAGAAAGACCCUGCCACCUGGUGGGGAAGCAGGGCUUGAGACGCACUUCUGCAUAGAGAGGAGGUGGCUGUACUUCACUGCGUCUCUACUGCUGGCACAGAGACACAGAGCUGUCUGGUUCUUUCUCGUCGAUGUCACAGUGAGAGGAAAGAAUGGCUUCUUGCCUCGAGAGACACUGUAGCCUUCAGGUGUUCUGGGUUCUGGGUGACGCCAGCAUUCAUGGGACCUCAGAGGAAAAGAGAUUACAUGAGACAGGGUCAUAAUGGCGGAGGAAGUGCGUGCGUGGCCAUGCAGCAACCCAAGGCGAGUGCGAAUAUCUUUUAAGUAUCCCAUGUUCGAGUGAAAACUCACAUGAAUUUUGCUUUUUGUGCCAUGAUGCAAUUAUUUGUUUUCAUUUAGAUGUCAAAAAAAUCAGAAAAUCUUUCAGAAAAUCUUUGGGCAACAUGAAGGUCCAGGGCCUAUUUGAGACACAGAGAGCCACAGACAAAGCCCAGUGAUGCUGAUCCAUUAGCCCAGAGCUCACCUGCCCGCAGGAGCCAGAAAACUACCCAGCAGAGGAGUCUGGUGUGCAUGGCAGAGAUGGCAUGAAGAAGACCCACAGGCAUGGCCCAGGAGGGAUGCUCACUGUAUUAGCCCAGGGAGUUAGACUUCAAAGGCCCCUCGUCUGAGGCGGGUCUUCCUGUGAAGUCACCAUUUCCGGGGAGCCUGUUGUCUCUGGACCUAAUCUUGUACAUCACUUGAAUGAGACAUCUUUUUUUCUCUACUGUAAACACAUCCUGGCCUAGUAUGUGUUACUACGGGGACAGCAUUGCGCAGGGCAGAAGAUUUUAUCUUGAUGAGGUCCCCAUAGUUCAUGUUUUGCUUUUUUCCCCCUUGCCUUUGGAGACGUGUUGAGUCUCCUGUUCAUUACUGCAUGUUCCAGACCAAACCUUUCCCCUUUGGUCUUCCCUACCAAUCAGUCAUCAUAAUGAGAGUCAAUGAAUGCAAGCAAUAAAUUGUGUGUUGGGAUGUGAGGAGUUACAAUGCAGUGGUCCUGGUGUCCUGAAGAGCCAUGGUGAGACUAUGGUCGACGAUGGCAGGGCCAACACCCAGCUCAGCAGCUCUGGAGGCUGCAGGACGACCGCUACAGUGUAUGUAAUCAUCUUUGGCGCCUGGAACUUACCUGGUCAAACUUCCAGACCUUCAAACUUGGCUCUUCUGGCAAAACUGUAGGUCUCUUCCCUCCCCGUGGAGCAUGCAAAGGUUAAAAAUUCAUCCCAGGGGCUAAAGCCUCAUUUCCUCCAAUUUAAAGACCUCAUAAUGUGUCCCUGCCUUCAACUGAGAGAGCACUUCUUAAGAGGGUAAAACUUGGCUAAACUACAGACAGGUCAGUAGCAAAAAUUAAUGCAGAAUAGAAAAUGCCAUUUAAGUUCACUCAUCUGUCUCCAAGCAGAUAAAUUAUUGGCUUAGACACUUCAUCGAACACUUUUGGAUUCCCUUUCCUGUUAUUACUAUUAUAAACUUCAAAGUGGCUAAGACACUGGAUCUUAAUUGUGUUCACCACAAAAAGAAAUAGUAAUUAGGUGAUGUGAUAGAGGUGUUAAGGAGCACAAUGGUGAUAAUCAUGCUAUGAUAUAUAAAUUUAUCCAAUCAAUAUACUGUACAUCUUAAGCUUACAUAAUGUUUUAUGUCAAUUAUAACCCAAUUAAAAACAGAUUUAUUGAGGUAUAAUUGACAUACAAAUCAACUGCACACAUUUAAAAAGUUUUGAUGUACGCAUGAUAAAAGAGGACUAUCACCACAAUCAGGAUAGUGAACAUAUCCAUCACCCCAAAAAGUUUCUAUCACGUUUUAAUCCUUCCCUGCCAAUCCUUCCCACACCUGUCCCAUCCCUAGGCAACCACCGAUCUGCUUUCUGUCAAUAUAGAUUUGCUUGCAUUUUCUAGUUGUUCAUAUAAAUGGAAUAAAAUAGUGUGUUUUUGUUUGUGUCUGGCUUAUUUCCAACACUGUAAUUAUUUGAGACUCAUCUAUAUUAUUAUGUACCUCAUAGUCAGUUAAUUUCUUUGGCCACUUAAAGAGUGCAUUUACUGAGAAGUUUAUAAAAUGUUUUAUAAUUUUAGAAGGUUCACAAAUUCAUCAAACAAGUUGGUACACAAUGCAAAUUAUACAACACGUUCCUCUAUUCACGAGGGUAUCUCUUGAAAAUAUGCUUUUCCCCCUGACAUUCAACCUACAAUAUUUGAAUCUUU